GCCAGGAGCGCCGUUAGCUGCGGGCCGCAGCGCCCACCCGCCAUGUUGGGCGCCGAGCGAGGCUUCUCGGCGGGGAGUGUGGGGAAGGGCAGCGGCCGGCCCGCAGCCUCGCUCGCCCGCCCGGGUUUUUCAAGGAAGCGGGAGACGCAAGGGCCACCCCGCCUACGCCUGGCGGCGCAGACAGGCGGUGCUCGCAAUGCCGCGGAGGACGCCACCUCUUAUCGCCGCUUGCCCGUCGAGGCCACGCCCCCUCCCGCCCCCACUUGCCGUUGCCCGGGGUGUCGGUUACCUCAGCAACCACCGCCCUUUCUUCCUGACCGCCAAGCUGACAAUAAACAGAUGACCCAAUGUUGCCCAAGUUAGAGCAUGCACCGCUGCUGCCCAGGCCUCCAAUAAGGGCAGGGUUGGCGCGUGUGGGCUUCUCUAAAGGGAAACAUGGCCAGUAAUUUUAAAAUCCAUCCCCUCUUCAAUGAUAGCAAAUAUAAAAGCAACGGGCUGCAAAGUACACGUAUGUUUAAUGAAAAAUGGAGGGACGUGGUUACAAAAACCUGAGACUUCCAUUUUGCUGGAACCUUCUUUUCCUCUUGCACACUCACUCUGCGACUCUGUGUGGAGAGCUCCAAGUGACAAGGGAGGUCUGCAGCCUAAGCAACUGACACCUCAGCCCAACAGCCCUCAAAGAACUGGAUCUUCAAACAACCACAUGAGUGACCUAGAAGCAAAUCUGUCACCAGUGCUCUUGAGACGGGCUGAAGUAUUUAAUCACCGGCACAAAAUGUCCCAGUGUUCUGUUCUCCUGCCAUGGAAAUUUUAGAGAAAAGAUCAUGAUCUAAGAGUCUACAAGACCAGAGCAGCCUAAAUUGCUGAGCUGCCUGGUGGAGAAUAGCAGCAUUGGGUGGUUCCCAGGAUUCUUAAAAGGACUUUACAAAGGACAGCCUAGGACAGAACUGUUUGAAUUAUAGAGUAGAUGCCAUCGAUACCCUGUCUACAACCUUCAGAUCUUAUCGCUUCUGUGUCCACUGGCCUACUUUCAGCUGCAGGUAUCUGCAUCGCUUUGCUGGAGAAUGUUAUCCAAAGCUGCUGAUGUCCUUUCUGCUUCACUGCCCAUGUACAUGGAGGUCUGAAAAUGACAAGGAAAU
Molecule: long non-coding RNA, 1139 nt
Filed under: Pan troglodytes (chimpanzee)
Lineage: Eukaryota; Metazoa; Chordata; Mammalia; Primates; Hominidae
Description: long non-coding RNA NONPTRT008850
Source: RNAcentral